GACGAACGCUGGCGGCGUGCUUAACACAUGCAAGUCGAACGCUGAAGCUCAGCUUUUGUUGGGUGGAUGAGUGGCGAACGGGUGAGUAACACGUGAGUAACCUGCCUCCUUCUUUGGGAUAACGCCCGGAAACGGGUGCUAAUACUGGAUAUUCACUGGUCUUCGCAUGGGGGUUGGUGGAAAGGGUUUUUCUGGUGGGGGAUGAGCUCGCGGCCUAUCAGCUUGUUGGUGGGGUGAUGGCCUACCAAGGCUUUGACGGGUAGCCGGCCUGAGAGGGUGACCGGUCACAUUGGGACUGAGAUACGGCCCAGACUCCUACGGGAGGCAGCAGUGGGGAAUAUUGCACAAUGGGCGCAAGCCUGAUGCAGCGACGCCGCGUGAGGGAUGGAGGCCUUCGGGUUGUGAACCUCUUUCGCUCAUGGUCAAGCCGCAACAAUGGUUGUGGUGAGGGUAGUGGGUAAAGAAGCGCCGGCUAACUACGU
RNAcentral lists this ribosomal RNA (482 nucleotides) under uncultured bacterium. RNAcentral describes it as "partial 16S ribosomal RNA". It matches the Rfam family "Bacterial small subunit ribosomal RNA", at positions 28 to 506 of the family's 1533-position model. The record is from RNAcentral.